GAUGAACGCUGGCGGCGUGCCUAAUACAUGCAAGUCGAACGCAUUGAGAAAAGUGCUUGCACUUUUCAAUUUGAGUGGCGAACGGGUGAGUAUCACGUGGGCAACCUACCUGAUAGCGGGGGAUAACGAGUGGAAACAUUCGCUAAUACCGCAUAACAAUAGAGAAGGCAUCUUCUUUAUUUAAAAGGCGCUUUCAAGCGUCACUAUCAGAUGGGCCCGCGGUGCAUUAGUUAGUUGGUGGGGUGAAGGCCUACCAAGACGAUGAUGCAUAGCCGUGUUGAGCGACUGAUCGGCCACAUUGGGCCUGAGACACGGCCCAAACUCCUACGGGAGGCUGCAGUAGGGAAUCUUCCACAAUGGACGAAAGUCUGAUGGAGCAACGCCGCGUGUGUGAUGAAGGCUUUCGGGUCGUAAAGCACUGUUGUAUGGGAAGAAAUGCUAGGCUAGGAAAUGAGCUUAGUUUGACGGUACCAUACCAGAAAGGGACGGCUAAAUACGUGCCAGCCGCCGCCGUAA
RNAcentral lists this ribosomal RNA (516 nucleotides) under uncultured bacterium. RNAcentral describes it as "partial 16S ribosomal RNA". It matches the Rfam family "Bacterial small subunit ribosomal RNA", at positions 28 to 523 of the family's 1533-position model. The record is from RNAcentral.